Molecule: ribosomal RNA, 253 nt
Filed under: uncultured bacterium
Lineage: Bacteria
Description: partial 16S ribosomal RNA
Rfam family: Bacterial small subunit ribosomal RNA
Source: RNAcentral
UACAGAGGGGGCAAGCGUUGUUCGGAAUUACUGGGCGUAAAGGGCGCGUAGGCGGCCCGCUAAGUCGAACGUGAAAUCCCUGGGCUCAACCCAGGAACUGCGUCCGAUACUGGCAGGCUUGAAUCCGGGAGAGGGAUGCGGAAUUCCAGGUGUAGCGGUGAAAUGCGUAGAUAUCUGGAGGAACACCGGUGGCGAAGGCGGCAUCCUGGACCGGUAUUGACGCUGAGGCGCGAAAGCUAGGGGAGCAAACGGG